GGCCCGAUGGUCUAGAGGUAUGAUUCUCGCUUAGGGUGCGAGAGGUCCCGGGUUCAAUUCCCGGUCGGGCCC
Molecule: non-coding RNA, 72 nt
Organism: Nematostella vectensis (starlet sea anemone)
Lineage: Eukaryota; Metazoa; Cnidaria; Anthozoa; Actiniaria; Edwardsiidae
Source: Rfam